This 325-nucleotide ribosomal RNA is filed under the name Wickerhamomyces sp. RNAcentral describes it as "partial large subunit ribosomal RNA". It matches the Rfam family "Eukaryotic large subunit ribosomal RNA", at positions 606 to 931 of the family's 3401-position model. Lineage: Eukaryota; Fungi; Ascomycota; Saccharomycetes; Phaffomycetales; Wickerhamomycetaceae. The record is from RNAcentral.
GUUACUUUGUAACUAGGAUGUUGGCGUAAUGAUCUAAUAUCGCCCGUCUUGAAACACGGACCAAGGAGUCUAACGUCUAUGCGAGUGUUUGGGUGUAAAACCCAUACGCGGAAUGAAAGUGAACGUAGAUGGGAGCCUUUUAAACGGCGCACCAUCGACCGAUCCUGAUGUCUUCGGAUGGAUUUGAGUAAGAGCAUAGCUGUUGGGACCCGAAAGAUGGUGAACUAUGCCUGAAUAGGGUGAAGCCAGAGGAAACUCUGGUGGAGGCUCGUAGCGGUUCUGACGUGCAAAUCGAUCGUCGAAUUUGGGUAUAGGGGCGAAAGAC